Molecule: long non-coding RNA, 3197 nt
Organism: Triticum dicoccoides
Lineage: Eukaryota; Viridiplantae; Streptophyta; Magnoliopsida; Poales; Poaceae
Exons: 4
Source: RefSeq, a predicted model, not a curated record
UUCUGUUUGGUAUUUUUCUACUCCCUCUGGAAAGAUUUAUAAGACGUUUUAGAAAGUGUAGUUCAAAUCUCGGCACGUUAAGAAAAUUCGGUCGUUUCCAUUUUUGCCCCUGCGCUCACUCACUCACCCGCACUCACCCAUUCCCCUCUCGCACUCACUCGCCCGCGUCGACGUCUCCCUGCCCGAAUCCGGCGCGGUGGCGACGCGCCUCACUCUCCGGCGUGGUGGCGACGCUCCUCCCUCUCGCCCGCGUCGACACCUCCCUCUCGGCCGCUUCGCAGCCUCCCUUCUCCUCUUGUCGCCGCCUCUCCCUCUCCUCGCCCGCGUUGUCUAGCCAAAAUUGUUUUUUUAGUGAGGUCAGGAUGAGCGGGAGGAGCGCGUUCGUCCCCCGCGCUGACGUCGGCGUCGAGGAAUAAGCAGGUGGAGGGCAUGGCGGAGCGGCGCCGCCGCAAGCACCUCAAUGACCUCCGCUCCGUCUUACUCCAAGAUCUAGAAGUCACACAUUGCCGCCAAUGGAGCAGAGCAAAAGGAGGAGGGCGACACCCAGGGAGAGGGGCGGUAGGAACACGAGCGAGCGGCUGUUUUAGAUGAGGAGGAGCGGAGGCAGCGAUGACAUGGUGCAGGCGACCUUCCAUCUGUUGCUGACCAGUGGAGGAGGAGCAGGAGGACGUCGGCGCCGUCGGAAUGUGGAGAACAAUCAAUUUGCAGGAUCAAUCCCAGAGAAGAUGCUCAGCGUCCCAAAAUUAGUGCAGAAGACAGGACAACCACGUAACCAUUCAAUUUCUGCAUAAGAAAGGACAACCAUUUAACCAUUCUGAUCCACGGUUCCUCUCCGACGACAGUGAGUUGCUGUUUGUACUCCAUGUUCUUUUGCUUGUACUGCUAGUGGUUAUGCUUGUGCUGCUAUAUCUUCUGGUGCUGCUAGAUUAAUAUGAGUAGGAGUAGAGUACAUGCAGUAGUUAGAGUGCUUGCUCAGAGUAGGAUUUUUGUUAGGAGCAGUUAGAGUACUCUACUGGAAGUCUGAAAGUACUCCUUGUAAGAGUAGUUUUUUUUUUAGAAAAGGAGGAUGACCCCCGGCCUCUGCAUCUAGGAGAGUGAGGCGUAUAAUCCAUUUCCACAAACAACUUUAAAACAAUAUAAUCCAUUUCGACAAAAAAGACUCCAUGGAUGCAUUUCCACAAACAAGUCUCAUCAUAGCACUACAAGUCUCAACAUACUCCACUGCAUGCUCAGUCGACAUCUUGUCCUAGAAUCUCCAUGGCAUUAUCAUAAACUUCACGAGGGAAAUGUAUCAUAGGCGGUAGCAUUCCUUGCCUUCAGCAUCAUAUCUGGGUCGAGCAACAGCGGUCAGGAACAUUACUUUGCCAAUACAGUUCUUGUUCCGAAUGGUUCUGACCGGGUCAUCUUCAUGAGGGAGGAGGUAGUAGUUUCUGUUCAUUUUUGUCAUAUAGAACCACUUUUCGUCAAUAUGCACAAUGUUGUGCAUACUGAUGAAUUUAGGUCUUGUAGCUGCUAAAGUUGUCUCAUCAAGCAUCGACAUACAAAACUUGAUUCUUUCUCUUUUAUUCUUUUCUUUCAAGCUUGGCUUCAAACGAUUGGAGUGCCUCCUAAUCUUGUGAAGCUUGAGUUUCUGGUAGAGUGUAGUAUGACUGACACCCAAUGCGCGAGCAAGUGACCUGAGAGUCGACCUUCUAUUCAAUGGAACUGUGGGGAUUUGAGAUAGGACAUUAUCCUUUCCUUUCCUUCCACAUCUUCUUUUCUUUUGGUUGGACACAUCCACCUCCUUACCAAGCUCUUUUUGUCGCUCUGCUGUCCUCCAGAUUCUCUGAAUAACUUGAAUAUCAGCUUGAAAAAUUCGAGCAACAUCCUUCUUGUCAGUUCUUUUGAACUCGCCACCCCUACUCAUAUUCAGCGUAAGCAUUGCCAUGUGGUGAGCAGUUCAGGUCUGGGAGCAUUUUGUGCUGCUGCUGCUAUGUUCCGGUACUGUUGAUGUGAUACUGCUUCUCCUCUUGCUACUGAUCCUGUGCUGUUGCUCCACUUGCUACUGUUGUUGUGCUGGUGCUGCUCUUGCUGAUAAUGCUGCUAAUAAUGCCGCCUGCUAUUGAUACUGCUGAUAAUGCUGUUGUUGUUGCUGGUCCUCUUGAUCAACUGCUCCUCUUGAUCAGCUGUUGUGUUAAUGAUGCUCUUAAUGCUUUUGUUGUCCUAAUCCUGAGCUAUCGAUCUCUUGAUGUGGAGUAAUUUGAAGAUCUCUUUUGUUGUCCUACUCCUGUACUCUUGAUCUUGAUCUGGAGCACACCUGAUUCCUUGAUCUGGAGUAAUUUGAAGAUCUCCUGAUCUGGUGUUGUGCUAUGAUGAGAAAUUAUUGCUACUGUGAUUUAUUGCUGCUCUCGAAGCUACUCCUCUUGAUCUUAUACUCCACUGUCAAGCACAUGGAUCUUGUACUCCACUAUAGUGGAAUUGAUUUUGAUCUCGUAUCUUGCUAAUGUAUUGCUUCUCCUUGCUCUGGGCGACGCGAGGAGUACCUGGGCGAGGAGCACCUGGGCGCGAGGAGGAGGGCUAGGGCGCGAGGAGGAGGACCUGGGCGCGCGAGCAGGAGGGCCAGGGCGCGAGGAGGACCUGGGCGCGCGAGGAGGAGGGCCUGGGCGCGGCGACGGCAAGGCUGGGCGCGAGGAGGAGGACCAGGGCACGGCAACGGCCAGGCUGGGCGCGUGGAGGGGCCCGGCGGCGACAAGGCUGGGCGCAGCCAGGCGACGGGGACGAGCGGGUGACGACGGGGACCAGCUCCUGGACACAGCCAGGCGACGGGGACCAGCUCCUGGACACAGCCAGGCGACGGCGACGGCAAGGCUGGGGGCGUGGAUACGGGGACGACGCGAGGAAGAAGACGACUGGUUCGAAAUUCAAAAUAAGGGCAUAAUGGUCUAUUUGCACUUUUGUCGGCUGUGUCUGAAAAUCCCUCAACGUCUUAUAAAUCUUUCCAGAGGGAGUACUUUGUUUUCUUGCGAAAAUAUGAAUUCUCUUUUGUCAUGAAUUCUAUAUCGAAAAGGGAUUAAUAAAACUAUAUGCUCUCUGCUCUGUAUCUAGAGCUGUGGCGCGUGGUUGCUGUUGCUUGUAGUUGAUAGUAGCAUGUCAGCGUGUAUUGCCAUAUUUCCAGAAAGCAAAAUGGAAGUCAAUAAAGUGGUUUUACUUAAAAGUUA